Long non-coding RNA from Ruditapes philippinarum (Manila clam), 1757 nucleotides. RefSeq lists it as uncharacterized. NCBI's taxonomy places the organism in Eukaryota, Metazoa, Mollusca, Bivalvia, Venerida, Veneridae. The record is from RefSeq and is a predicted model, not a curated record. The transcript is spliced from 3 exons.
GCAAAUUCGAGUCAUGCUUAAUAUUGAAUAUCUUAUGUUUGAAGAUUGACAAUGGAGAACAUUUGAGCUUUUAAAUUUGAUCCUGAUUUUGAUCCUGAUUCUUAAACCUUAGUAAAUACGGGGCCUGAUGAUUGUCAAGAAUUAUUAGAUAGCCAUACUUUUGCACCUUAAAUUAAACAUUUCCCUUUUAAGUCAAAACACAAAAACUGCAAACAUAUGACUUUUGUCAAAUAUACAGUUUUAUUUUUCAUGGUAUAAUGGUAUAACUUUGUAUACGCUUGCUUGAAUUACACGUGACGUUUUGUCUAUAUAUAAGCAUUCUAUGAAAUAGCAUGUUCUCAUAUUGACGGAAGCGACACUGCUGUGAAGUGAUAUAUACCAGAUUCCUUAAAAUGGCGGUGUUUGUUUGGCUUGUAAUAUUCUUUUCUUUCCUGUCAAUUUCAAAUGCAAAUACAUCGAAAGCUUGCUGGGCCGGCUUGCAAAAACAAGAAUGUGUGUAUGACACAGUCUUGCAAGGGCGAGAGGGACUAAUGAUAAGCUACUUUUUAAGCAUUCCAUUUUCUCGGAUUUGCUGUGAAGCCCUAAGUUGUACCCUGGAGACAGGGAGGUGUGAGUUCCAAUAUGCCGGAUGCCAUGAUAAUAGCACAGCUAAUAUCCAGACUCGUCCAAGACUUUGGGAGCUCCAAAACAUACCUACAAUGAUGCGGUGUACCGAUGUGCAAGGCAAGGGUGCAUUUUAUUGGUUUUGGGCCCAGAUUGUGCAGGACGAAACCCUUAUGUGAUUAAGAAACAAUCAUUAAAAGACGUUUUGAUUUUCGAACAAAAUGUUAUGAAGUUAACAAUAAAAUGCAUUUAAGAUGAAUGUGACGACAGAUAAAACGUAUGAAUAUUCAUUAACUAAAACAAACGCUUACCUAAUAUAAAAUUUCACAUUUGCUCCGUUUCUUUUUAGAUAUGUUUACAAUCGAAUAUUUAUUAAUUAAAAUCAUACCGACUUUUUAACAAUUUCAAUUUGAUCGUGUCGGACGAUCUCCGAGGUGUAAUAUUUCCUCCAUAUUUAUAAGAUCAACCAACUGGGUAAAACAAUCAUCACACCAUUUGUUUCUUUAUAUGUGUAUGAAACGAGUCAGCACUAGCUGGGGCAACUUCGUGAGAUGUUUAUGUCAAGGCCGUCGGGGCGUGACGAGGUUUUGUUUUUGCAGAAACAUCCCGAGAUGUCGCCCAGCCAAUGUUAUCUCGCGUAACUAACGAGUUAUAUAUAUUAUAACUGUUUUAUCGUAAUUUCAUAAUUUUUAACAGAAAUCAGCAAAAAUUACUAUGUUCAGUGAUUUUCCUUUUCUUGUGCCCUUUCUCGUUUGUUUCAAAUCUAAUCCCUUGCAAAAAUAAAUCAAUACCAGCUAAUAAAUGUUGUUUUUUUUGUGCUACUAGGGAUAUGUGAUACCUCUAUCCCAUUUAAACUCUGUAAAAAACUACACUGAUAUAUAACAGGUGCACAAAGACUCAACUGUUACAUAUAAUACACGAAAAAAACAGCACUGUUAUAUAUCAAUUAUACAGUUUCGAAAUCUUUAUUGAAAAUGAACUGAAUAGCAUGGGUUAGUAAGAACAAAGAAAAAAAUCCUAACCAUGCAAUUAAAGCCUUUUACUCCGUGUUUUAAAGAUUUUCUUGGUUCUUUCUAGCCCAUUGUAUUCCCCUGAUAUCAGAAACAUCCCUCGAUGUCUCCCCAGCAAGUGUUAUACCCUUGUAUGUAGCUCGU